RNAcentral lists this ribosomal RNA (1461 nucleotides) under uncultured bacterium. Its description in RNAcentral is "partial 16S ribosomal RNA". The record is from RNAcentral.
UAACUUGCGACCGCCGUACGGAAUGUGUACGUUCAGCUUGCCGUCGUGCCCCCGUUGGGACCACCGCUCACCGCUUGCCCACUCAUUAUGUAGCCUUGCACAGGACAUCACCCCCUAUCGGGCCGCUUUCGGCCUAAUUAUGGCGUAUGCGAGAUGCCUCCUUUCCCCCCCUAGAAUCCUGGAGGGCGAUGUCCCCGCCGGCUACCGUCUAAUCGAUCAACCACCCCAUUUCCGGAUGGUUCCGCUGCUAGACAUCGACCAGACUCUCCUGCUGGUCGGUGUGACCCUGACUCUGUGCCGGGUCUGAGGAUGCCCUCCGUCGUCACCCCUUAAAACCUGUUACCCCCGUUGGGACUAGGUCGUUACGGCGCACACACUUCUUCCGGAAGCCCAACAUUUCGUGAAAACAGGCCUUUCUUUUGCGGCACCANUUAUGGGCACCGCCUACUGCCAUGGCCNUCUUAUUCGUGGCCGAUUGAUGCACGGUCGUCGGCGCCAUUAUGCAUCCCACGUUCGCAAUUAGCCUUAAUGACCCGCAUUUCGCACGCGUCCGCCAGGCGAUUCUGUCUACACUUUAGGGGCCCGAAUUGGACCCUUGACGUAAACACUGACCGCCCGAUCUCAUACCGUCUCCCCCCAUCUUAAGGUGCACAUCGUCACUUUACGCAUCUCUACACCUCCUUAUGGCUACCGCUUCCGUCGGGGGACCCGGUUAUGACUGCGAGUACGUGCUUUCGCACCCCUCGUUUGUCCUAAUCUAUGGGACCAUCAGGUGCGGGAUUUGCUACAGUUGAUCAACAGCCCAGAAGUAACUGAACCAUUGCAUCGAUUGCGCACUUCAACUGGCGGACCCCUCAUGCCAGCGUUCUAAUUUUGAGUUUCCUUAACUGCCCCUGGGCGUGUUCGCCACCUACUACACCUAAUUAAGCUACGUUGCGCUUUUUGGANUGGUCCAGAACUGUAGGGCUACGAUAAAGAUCUCUGUCUUUCAAUGAAGCCAUGUAGCCACUGUCUCACCACGUACCAACAGACAGUCGAGGCACAGCACUCKWYAACCCAAUUCAGGGCGUUGCUCGCGUUGGGAAUGGGAGACAACGAUUGUCCACUUCGACUCGUGAGACUCCCUUGACGGCCACUGUUUGGCCUCCUUCCACCCCUACUGCAGUUCAGUAGUGCCGGGAAUACAGGUCCCGAUGUGUGCACGAUGUUACCGGCCAUGUUUCUCAACGCUAUGGCGCUCCACCUCGAUUAGAGUUUUUUGGCCAGAGUCAAGCCUAACAAGAGACGUUGAGCUCUCGUACUUCAACCUUAGCGAUCAUUAGCACCUAGUCGUGCGGUGCCACUUAUGCAAGGGCCCGGAACAUGUGUGGCGGGCAGUGUGGUAGACUCAACCGUCGUGGGCUUCACCGGCUAGAUUGGCGUUCCUCCUUCCAAUGAUUCCACUUCAGCCACUUCUCCCAC